This is a regulatory RNA element of Aequorivita viscosa, 104 nucleotides long. NCBI's taxonomy places the organism in Bacteria, Pseudomonadati, Bacteroidota, Flavobacteriia, Flavobacteriales, Flavobacteriaceae. The record is from Rfam.
AUUUUAGAGGAAAGAUUUGACUGAUUGCAACCUCUUCUGAAUCGGGAUUUCCGAGGAUGAGACCCCGCAUUAAAUGCGAGGCUAAAAAUGCUAAAGGCAGUGCA